This 807-nucleotide non-coding RNA is filed under the name Paralophaster lorioli. Lineage: Eukaryota; Metazoa; Echinodermata; Asteroidea; Velatida; Solasteridae. The record is from RNAcentral.
ACAGACUUGGUCCUAGUCCUAUUAUUGGCUAAUUCUAAGAUGAUACAUGCAAGCAAUUUUGCAUAACAGUGAGUAAAUACCUAACCUAAAAUCUCUAAGAAAUAAAUAUAAAAAAACAUCAGAACUAAUUAUUUAAUCAAAAACGUUAAGAAAUUAUUAUUUUACUACCACCCCGCAGUACCAAAAAUUGUACAAUAAGUAAUAGCUUGAUACAACUAUAGAAAAAAUAAACCGGUAAAUUAUGUGCCAGCCACCGCGGUUAUACAUAAGAUUUUAACUAAUAAUUACGGUAAAAAGGUAAAACAUAUUGGAACAAACUAACUCUAGCAGUAAUAAGCUUAUAGAAUACUAAUAACACUAUUUACCCAAUUAUAUUAUUUACACACUUUAUACUAAAGCUCAAAAAUAAACUGGGAUUAGAUACCCCAUUAUAUGAGAUAUAAAAACCGAACCACCUGAGAACUACGAACUAAAGUUUAAAACUCAAAGGACUUGGCGGUUUUUUACACCUUACUGGAGGAGCUUGCUAUAUAACCGAUAAUCCACGAAAUACCUAACCAAUCUUUGAAAAAACAACCUGUAUACCAUCAUCGUCAGCUUACCCCUCAAGGAAAGUACGCAUAAAGAAAACCUCUUCACCACGUUAGAUCGAGGUGCAGUUUAUAGAUUGGGAAUAAGUGAGCUACAAUAAAAAAACAUUCAUAAAUACAAUUUUGGAUAACUUCCUGAAAACAAAUUAAAAAUAGGAUUCAACAGUAAUGACUUAACAGAAAAUAAGCAUGAAACUACUCUAAGCUCUAAAAUGCG